This 253-nucleotide ribosomal RNA is filed under the name uncultured bacterium. RNAcentral describes it as "partial 16S ribosomal RNA". It matches the Rfam family "Bacterial small subunit ribosomal RNA", at positions 524 to 776 of the family's 1533-position model. The record is from RNAcentral.
UACGUAGGUGGCGAGCGUUGUCCGGAUUUACUGGGCGUAAAGGGAGCGUAGGCGGACUUUUAAGUGAGAUGUGAAAUACUCGGGCUCAACUUGAGUGCUGCAUUUCAAACUGGAAGUCUAGAGUGCAGGAGAGGAGAAUGGAAUUCCUAGUGUAGCGGUGAAAUGCGUAGAGAUUAGGAAGAACACCAGUGGCGAAGGCGAUUCUCUGGACUGUAACUGACGCUGAGGCUCGAGAGCGUGGGGAGCAAACAGG